RNAcentral lists this unclassified non-coding RNA (3896 nucleotides) under Dimorphilus gyrociliatus. RNAcentral describes it as "leucine zipper-EF-hand-containing transmembrane protein 1". The record is from RNAcentral. Lineage: Eukaryota; Metazoa; Annelida; Polychaeta; Dinophilidae.
AGAAAAACUUUUGGAAUAAAAAAGGUCAAGGCCAUAUAUGUAAGUAACAUUUGCCAUGUGGGCUUUACUUUUAAAUACUGCAAAGAACGGGUUUGUUAUUAGAAGAAUACCACAUAAAGCAUUCAGUGUUUACUCUACGAUAAGUGGUCCGAUCAGGUUAAUUGGGAAAAAUGACAAGAUAUUGCACGAAAUUGCACAUAAUCGAGAGCUUCUGUCAAAUAUUCUAUCAAUAAACGCAAGACAUUUACAUACAUCUCAAUCACUGCUUAAAAAGGAUGAAUCUAAAGUAGAACAAGCUGUAAAGGCUUUAAAAGAAAGUGUAGAAGAGCAAACAAAAGAUGGCAAAGACGAAAAUGAGCAAACAAAGUCCUUAUCGACUAGAACAGUGGAAAGUGUAAAACCGGCAACCGUGAUCCCGAAAAAGAAAUUAAGCCAACGAAUUAUUGAUGAAGUAAAGCAUUAUUACCAUGGAUUUCGAUUGUUAUUUAUUGAUGUUCGUGUUUGCUCUCGUUUAAUUUGGCAAGUGCUAAAUGGAAAAACGUUAAGUAGACGAGAGAGAAGACAACUCGUUACAACGACUUCUGACCUAUUCCGCUUGGUUCCAUUUCUUGUAUUUAUGAUUGUUCCUUUCAUGGAAUUCUUAAUACCGGUCGCUCUUAAACUUUUUCCAAAUAUGUUGCCUUCAACUUUCCAAGAUGAGAAUCGAGAAAGUGAGAAAAUAAAGAAAAUGCUAAAAGUUCGACUCGAAAUGGCAAAGUUUCUACAGGAUACUAUCGAGGAUACAGCUCUAACGAAAAAGAGAGCUGGAAAAAUAGAUGAAGAUGAAACAAAGCUGGAAGAAUUCCAUAAAUUUAUUGAAUCUAUCAGAACUUCAGGUACUCUUGUUUCUAAUGAACAAAUUCUCAAAUAUUCGAAAUUAUUCGAAGAUGACAUUACAUUAGACAGUCUUAAUCAAGGACAAUUAAAGGCUUUAUGUCGUUUAUUGGGAAUCCCUGUGCUGGGAAAUAACACUCUUCUUCGUUUUCAACUUAGAAUGAAACUUAGGCAAUUGGAAGCUGAUGACAGGAUGAUAAAAAAUGAAGGCAUAGACUCCUUAACUAUUUGGGAAUUGCAAGAUGCUUGUAGAGCUAGAGGAAUGAGAGCUCUUGGUCUUUCUGAAGAAAGAUUGAAAUCGCAAUUGGCAUCUUGGCUUGAUUUGCAUUUGAAUAAUCAAGUACCCGCUUCACUGCUACUGCUAUCAAGAACUUUGUUUAUGGUUGAAAAUCUCUCAACUGAAGCGCAAUUGGCAGCAACAUUAUCAGAGUUACCACACCAAACUGCUGAUAGUGCUAAAAUUAAAAUCACUGAGGCAAUUGGAGAGCGUAUUGACAAUAAGACUAAAUUAGAGCUCAUUAAGAAAGAGGAGGCUGCAAUUAAAGCUGAAGCAAAGGAGAUAGCGGAAGAGGAAGCCAAAAAUAAAAAAGAAGCUGAGCAAGCUGAAGCUGAGUUGAAGGAAAAAGAGACUUCCACCGAAAAAGUUAUUGAUGAAAAACUGAUUAAAAGUGAUGUUGAAGAUAUUCUUGUUGACAAAGCAGAAGAAUUGAAAUCUUCACCUCAAGAAGUCCUCAUAGACAAAGCUGAGGACGUUGCAGAAUCUGAAAAAGAUGAAGAAAUUACCACAACUGAUCUAGAAAAGGUUGAAACUGUGCUUGAAAAAAUUGCUGAAGAAAAAGUUUAUGAACUUGAAACAAAAGAACUAAAAGAAGAUGUUGAAGAGUAUGAUCGAGACUUAGCUGAGUUGAAAGAUGUUGUCAUGACAACUGGAACUUCUGAAGAGCUACAAGAAACUUUAGCAGCCAAGAGAUUACGUUCUCAGGUCAAUAAGCUUAUUAAUCAAAUAGAUACAGUAGUCACGGAUUUCCAUAAAGAAAAAGCAGAAAUUAUAGAAGCAAUAGAAGUUAAGGAAGUAAAAAUGAAGAGAAAUUUAAAUCUAUUGGAGGAUCAAGAGCAAAGACAAAACAUCCAAGAUCAAAUUAAUAAAAAAAAGGAAAAUCUUAUAACAAUUAAUGAAUUGAUGCUUGGUAUGAAGAGACUGCAGAAAUUAGAUGAUGAUACAAAAUUUCAAAAGAUCGCGGAAGUGUUAGAUGAAGAUGGGGACGGAGCUAUUGAUCUUGAACAUGCAAUGAAAGUAAUAGAAUUAUUAGGAAAGGAAAAUGUAAAAAUUGGAUCCAGUCAAAUUGCAGAAAUAGUUAGUAUCCUAAAGAAGGAAGCUGUUUUAGAAGAGGAAGAUAAGAAAAAAGAGAAAGAACAGAUAGAAUCACAGGACAGGCAGAUUUAAGCAUACCAUUAAGAGUGAAUAUUUGUACUUUUACCAUAUGUUGUUAAGUAAAUUAAGUACAGUUCCAUUUUCGAUUAUUACUGUUUUUGCUUAGAAAAUGAAUGUGAAUUAUAGACUGUAAAUAUAAGUGAACACUUUUUGUGCCGCACAAUACUUCGUCUUUCAGUAAGAUUUUGUAUGCAAGUGUGGUUAAUGAAAGAAUCAAAAAAAUAUUUAAAAAACCUCAAGAACUGCUUAUUUAAUUAUAUUUAUCUGAAUGUUUAAAGGUUCGUUUACUUUGUGUCUAUCGUUCGAUGUUUGUAAUCGUAUUAACUUCAACUAUCGGAAGAGGGUGACGGACAUCGCAUAGUUCCAACGCCAUCUCUAUGCCUACAUCCAAAGUAACUGCCAUGUACACUUGGUAGUAUGGAAUCAUAAUUUAUUUUAUACAUUGGUCCUGGUAUUACUGAGGAAUAUGUGGGUGGUUCAUGCCUUGAUUGAAUAGAAAAUGCCGGAGCAUCAAGUUUUGUUUUAUGUCCUAGUUGAUAACGAGGGCAGUCGUUUGACUGAAAAGUAAAAUAAUUUCAUUAAAGAUUCCAAUAAAAAAGACAGGUAAAGACUUUCAAUGUUUUUGCUUUCCAUCUUCCUGACAAAGAAAAUGAUGGGCCUUUACCCAGAGUAGAUGAGAUACAGUAUCUAUUAGGUGCAGGAGAAUCUUCAUUUUUAACUUUUGGAUAAUUCUUAGACUGUAUUGUAAAAGCUGGCUGAGAACGAUAUAAUUUUGAAUCACUUGGACCAAUGUUUCGCAGUUUAGGAUCUGCUAAAGAAAAGUAAUUAAACUUUCUUCUAUGACAGAAAUGUUUCUAGAUGUACCAUCUCGUUUUAAAGAUUGAAAAAAAUUUCGACCCUUUAUGGAAAUUUCUGGACCUUUAUUAACUCCUGUAUUUGUUAAAAACUUAGCGAUCAUUACUUUUCCCGGUCCAGGACCACACCCAAUUUCUAAACAAUUGUAAUAAUGGUAAUUAUUCUAAAAAAACCGGUAAUUUAAGAACUAUAACCUUCCUUAGUCUUUAUUUUGCCUGCAAUAGAUAUAGCCGGAGCUCGUUUCUUGGUUACAUCGUGACAGUCAUAGGCAAAAGUCGAUGGAAGAAGGUAAGCAGCUGGUCCUGGUCCAACUAGACAACUAUUUUCCAUAUAGUUCUACUAAGAUAUUGAAUUUUUUACCUGAGCUAUUUUUAAAUACGUGAAAAGAGCACAUUUCAAAGAAAUGAUAACUCUAGAAUAAAAUAGUUAGAAACAUAUAGAUUGCAAUGUUAUGUAUUAAACUCUCAAUCAAAACAAAAAGGAUGGGAUAUUUUUAGGAAUAUUAUUUAAAUAUAUAUUCUGAUGUCAUUAUUCUAUUUCCAUUGCCGAACUUUCAACAUUUUUAGUUUGUUUUUUCUUUGUGGGAGUUUUCUUUGUUGUCUUUUCUUGUGGUUUGACUUCCAUCAUCUCUUCAUCUACAAAAAGAGUAUAUUUUACAUCUUGCUAUUUUAACAGAAAUAAGUUGAGUAGCUUAUAAGAGAUCAUAUACUUACCAUUUGUAGGGUUUGAACCUGUU